This 1766-nucleotide ribosomal RNA is filed under the name Phellinus viticola. RNAcentral's name for it is "SSU rRNA". It matches the Rfam family "Bacterial small subunit ribosomal RNA". Lineage: Eukaryota; Fungi; Basidiomycota; Agaricomycetes; Hymenochaetales; Hymenochaetaceae. The record is from RNAcentral.
UUAAGUAGGAAUUUAAUUUUGGUUCCGAUUGAACGUUUUUCAGUAGUUUUAAGACAUGCAAAUCGUUUGUAUAUGUUAAAUCUAUAGUUUAGUUCAAACUAUAUGAUUGAAAAUAUACAAGGUGUAGAGGUGAGUAUUGUAAAUGAGAUACCCUUGUAGACUUCAGAAAUAGAAGAUAAUUCUUUUCAUUAAUGAUAUUCUUAAAGAUACACAAAGAAAUCUUAUAAGAGUAAUAGGUACGCUGAGCGUUUCGCUGAGCGAAUCUAUAAAGAAUAUAAAAAGUGAAAACUUUAAAAAACAAAGGAAAUUUUCCGCUAUUAGGAUUCAAUUUACAUUCGAUUAGGUAGUUGGUGGGGUAGAAGCCUACCAAGCCGAAGAUCGAUAGUCAAGUUUGAUAGAACUAAUGACCACAUUGGGAAUGAGAUCUCCCAAGUAGCGUUUAAAGCUACCAGCAGUCAAGAAUAUUAGUCAAUGCUCGCAAGAGUGAACUAGCUAACUGAAAUCCUUGAUGUGUCAUUGAGGAUAAGGUAAGGGAAAAUAAUGAUAAUACCUUACUAUUAGUGUCGUCCAAAACUCGUGCCAGAAGACUCGGUAAGGCGAGAGACGCAAACGUUAAUCAUCUUAAUCAGGCGUAAAGGGUGUGUAGGCUGUUUAAGUUAAAUAAAUUUAGUUUAACGAAAUUAAUUAUUUAAUGUAUACUAGAAUCUAAAGGAGGUUAAAACAAUACUUUUCAUUGUAGGUGUUCGAACUUAAGAAGAUAAGUAGAGUGUUAAAGGCGAAGGCUUUUUUCCAAUAAAGAUUGACGCUGAGAAACGAAGGAGAGGGCAGAAAAAAGGAUUAGAGACCCUUGUAUUCCUCUCUGUCAACGAUGAAUGGUAGUCAUGAGGUAGAAAUAACCUUGAGGCGAUGUUAACACGUAAAACCAUUCCGCCUUGUGAGUACGACUGCAAAGUUGAAAACAAAAAAAUUAGUCGGUUUCGGAGCAAACGAAGUGAAGCAUGUUAUUUAAAACGAUAGUCCGCGUAAAACCUUACCAGUCCUUGUAUAAAAACUUUUAGCUGUUAGUUUUACUAAUGGCACCUUCCUUUAGGGAGGGUAAAGGAAUAUUGACUUUAAUUUAGUAAUUAAAGAGAUAUUUAAUACAGGUGUUGCAUGGCUGUCUUCAGUCCGUUUUGUAAAAAGUUAGGUUAAAUCCGUUAACGGACGCAAUCCCUAUUGUUAAUUUCUACUUAACAAUUAAUGAUUCUGAUAAGGUUUCAUCUGGGGCUAAGACAAGCCUUUAUGGCCCUCAUGGACUGGGCUAUAGACGUGCUAUAAAGACUUUCACAAAAUGAAGCAUAACUUCUCCGCAAUCUUAAUUGAGAGCAUCUUUAGUUUUCAUAAACUAGGGAUUAGCAUAAGGAAAAGCUAAUCAUUAAAAAAAGUCAAAUAUAUAUCUUAACGUACGGAUUGUCGCCUGAAACUUGGCGACAUGAAGGAGGAAUUUCGAGUAAUCGUUGAUCAUUAGGCGCAACGGUGAAUUUUGGAUCCGAUAUGAACUAACCGUCUGUCGCUGGGAAGAAGCUUAUAGUAGUGGAAACCGGCUUUGAUUGAAAUUUUAUUUUGCUUUAAAGUUUUAUUGUUGUUUCAAACUGUCACAGGCACAAAUUUAUAAUAAAAUAGUAUAAAAAUUAAUUUUAGUUAAAGUUUUUUAAGCUACAUAUGUAACAUCUCAAAAGUCAUAGCAGGGUAGUUGUACUGGAAAGUGCAGCUGGAUAAUGAAUAAU